This 142-nucleotide microRNA precursor is filed under the name Podarcis lilfordi (Lilford's wall lizard). Lineage: Eukaryota; Metazoa; Chordata; Lepidosauria; Squamata; Lacertidae. The record is from RNAcentral.
GGGGAGGAGAGAGGGACAGAGAGCCUGCUUGCUUUAAAGGAGCCAACCGGACAGGAGCCACUUACACUCGUGUAAGAGGCUCCUCUCCUCUCCCGCUUUGCUCCUUUAAAGCAAGCAGGCUCUCUGUCCCUCUGUCCUCCCC